CCACGCCGUAAACGAUGCUCACUGGUUCUUGGCGACAUGACGGUCAGGGAUCAAGCGAAAGUAUUAAGUGAGCCACCUGGGGAGUACGUCGGCAACGAUGAAACUCAAAGGAAUUGACGGGGGCCCGCACAAGCGGAGGAACAUGUGGUUUAAUUCGAUGAUACGCGAGGAACCUUACCCGGGUUUAAAUGGGUGCGGGCGUAACCGGAAACGGUUAUUCCCUUCGGGGCCGCAUUCAAGGUGCUGCAUGGUUGU
RNAcentral lists this ribosomal RNA (255 nucleotides) under uncultured bacterium. RNAcentral describes it as "partial 16S ribosomal RNA". It matches the Rfam family "Bacterial small subunit ribosomal RNA", at positions 795 to 1052 of the family's 1533-position model. The record is from RNAcentral.